Molecule: long non-coding RNA, 676 nt
Organism: Xenopus tropicalis (tropical clawed frog)
Lineage: Eukaryota; Metazoa; Chordata; Amphibia; Anura; Pipidae
Exons: 3
Source: RefSeq, a predicted model, not a curated record
UUAAAAUGGGGACUGUCCUGCGAAAAUCGGCACAUUUGGGAGGCGUUUCCAGUAAACCAAUAUCUCCAUUGUACAGGUGAUUCCAUCACAAUCACAAAAUCCCAUACACAUAUCUGAGCCAAAUCUACACAUAGUAUCCCUAUCAGUAUUUCUCUCUAACUCUCCUAUGGCACCGGGAAAAUGAAAUGCCGUCACCCACAAAUGAAGCAUAACAGCUUCUCCACCCUGUGCCCCCCGUGUUCCGGGACACAAUCCUCACACAUACAGGCUUCCUCCUCCCGGCAGUAAUACCCCAGGGGCUUCUGGUGAGUGGAACAAUCAUUAUCUCUGAAUAAAGUGAUGGAGUCUAUCAUUUGGUGUUGUGCUGACUGGCUGUGCAUCCCCACAUGUCUGGCACACAGAGAGGCCUCACAGGUCAGGCAGGAUUUAGCCGCGGGCACAGGGGGGGCACAGUAAGUGCAGAGGAUCCCAGCACCCUCCUGCCCUGGGUGAGACGGAAAGAAAAUCUUCAUUAUGUCUCUCAGAGUCUGGUCUCCUCUCACUUUGGGCGACACAUAGUAUCCGUCUCCGCAUUUCUGACAGGUAGGGGGCAGAUGACAGCCCUGGCAGAAGGUAUGGCCACAGGGCAGGGUUACGGGCUCUGAACAAAUCUUCUGGCACACAGAGCAGGUUAGAC